This is a small nucleolar RNA of Carassius auratus (goldfish), 133 nucleotides long. Its record names the gene U8. It matches the Rfam family "U8 small nucleolar RNA". From Rfam's summary of the family: U8 is a member of the C/D class of snoRNA which contain the C (UGAUGA) and D (CUGA) box motifs. U8 is the RNA component of a small complex (the U8 snoRNP) which is required for accumulation of mature large subunit ribosomal RNAs, 5.8S and 28S rRNAs. The record is from Ensembl. NCBI's taxonomy places the organism in Eukaryota, Metazoa, Chordata, Actinopteri, Cypriniformes, Cyprinidae.
ACGUCAGUGAGGUAUAUCCUUACCUGUUACCUUAGAAAUAAGGUUUCAGAACAUGAUGAUUGGAUUUGAUGAAUACGUGAUUACUUUCCGUGUUCGCUUAGGAAAUGCAACAUCCUAACGAAUCCUGUCUGAU